This 835-nucleotide long non-coding RNA is filed under the name Rattus norvegicus (Norway rat). RNAcentral's name for it is "long non-coding RNA NONRATT026535". Lineage: Eukaryota; Metazoa; Chordata; Mammalia; Rodentia; Muridae. The record is from RNAcentral.
UCGGGGGCAGGGUAUGCCAGGCAGAGACUGAGGGAUCCUGGGAAAACCUGGAGGUCAGGUCUUCUUUGGCGGUAGUAGGCACCUCAGCCCCUAGUCCGGGGGUCUGAAACCGGCUCCAUUUCUUAGCUCUUCUACGUGUAGCGCAGUAAAGACGAAGACUGAGCUGGUCUCUGUGGAGUCGGAGGCCUCUGGACUCAUGCCAAGAAGCGGUAUAGUUGACUCACUCCGGAGACUUCGUCUUAGGUUUUGGGAAUUCAACCCGCGGGUUUCUGUGGUAGCUUCCGCUCUUUGCAGCCCCACCAACCGUGAAUGGGAGUUCUUCCCACCGCCUCCAGCAGGUUUUGUUGCUGGGCUUUGCCUUUCUGACUCCGGGGGUCAGGUUGAAGGUAAAUCCGUCUUGCUGAAGGCACAUUUAGGACCACCGGAAGUUGAUCGUCCCAGAGGCUUCCUUCCUGCCGUCAAGGUUCCACGGGUCAAGGAAAUACUACAUCAGCUGACAAGCGAGUGAAGGAGGCAGUUCAAACAGCCCCUGUGGGCUGAGACACGUAUGACCAUGACGGUGACCACCGAGGCACAGCUGUCUCUCUGUGGCAACCUCCUGUUGGGUUUCAGACCUGGGACAAGAAGGUGAGGUGCACACUUACAUACCAAAGCAGACCUGGCCUCCAGAUGCUCCCAGCAUCCCUCAGUCUUUGCCCGGUGUACUCUGCCCCCAACGCUGAACUUUCCAGCCCAGGGGCUGGGCUGCCCUUCCCUCAGAGGCUCCUCCCUACAUAAUCUGGACAUUUUCAUCUCUCUGCCCCUUCCUUCUCUCGCUCUCUCUGUCCACCCGAGA